This is a long non-coding RNA of Pteropus alecto (black flying fox), 620 nucleotides long. RefSeq lists it as uncharacterized. NCBI's taxonomy places the organism in Eukaryota, Metazoa, Chordata, Mammalia, Chiroptera, Pteropodidae. The record is from RefSeq and is a predicted model, not a curated record. The transcript is spliced from 3 exons.
GUGACCAAGAUGUAUAUUCAUUUUAUUGUCACAGACUGAUCAAGUUGAUCAAACCCUGGCCAAGAAUUAAAUGUCCUCGGUUUGCUGGAGGCAAGCAUGUAUCUAGACUGAUCAUCACAGCAAGGCAGUUCUGGCCUCCUCUGUGUGAGCUGAAACCUUCAGAGCCUGGGAAAAGUUUCCUCUGAAGAUCAGGAGUGAUGAGGCCACUGCUCAGUUCUGUCAUGGCAGAGGGAUUCCUCACAAUCUAGCAUCCUAGGGUUAUACAUAGCUACCACCCCUGUGAGUCAACGAAACAGCAGUGGAUUAGGAAGUGACAGAACAAGAGUAAUGCUUACCUCCUAGAGGUGCCAGGAUGGAUUUGACCCAUAGAUUACAGUUUACAGACCACUGUUCUAGACGAUAAUGUGUCUCAAAACAUCCAACAUACAGUCCCAUGGACCCAGCAGUCCACUUCUGUGGAGCCGACUGUGUGAGCUGACAUAUAUCAGCCAUGUUAAUAGAGCAACAAAAAGAAGGAAGAAGAGGAGGAGGAAAUGGAAAGUUACUCCAAAGUACCUAUUUGCUGUAAAACAUUUAAAACUAUGAAGAAGACAGUGCGCUCAUUAGGGUUGGAACGCAAA